GCCGCAGUAUUUUAACUGUGCAAAGGUAGCAUAAUCACUUGCUUUUUAAUUGAAAGCUUGUAUGAAUGGUCAGAUGAGAUAUAUUCUUUCUUUAUUUUAUUUGAUUUAAUUUUAUUUUUUAGUUAAAAAGCUAAAAUUUUUUUAUUAGACGAGAAGACCCUAUAGAACUUUACAAUUUUCUUUGUUAUUUAGUAUUUUGUUUUUAAUUAUUGAUUAUUUAGUUUUUUGUUUUGUUGGGGUGACAGGUAAAUUUAUUUAACUUUAUUUAAUUCAAUUUCAUUAAUUUAUGAUUUUUUGAUCCAUUUUUGUGAUUAUAAGAUUAAGUUACCUUAGGGAUAACAGCGUAAUUUUACUGGAGAGUUCAUAUUAAUAGUAAAGUUUGCGACCUCGAUGUUGGAUUAAA
Molecule: ribosomal RNA, 403 nt
Filed under: Xylocoris cerealis
Lineage: Eukaryota; Metazoa; Arthropoda; Insecta; Hemiptera; Anthocoridae
Description: partial 16S ribosomal RNA
Source: RNAcentral